This 274-nucleotide ribosomal RNA is filed under the name uncultured bacterium. Its description in RNAcentral is "partial 16S ribosomal RNA". It matches the Rfam family "Bacterial small subunit ribosomal RNA", at positions 523 to 796 of the family's 1533-position model. The record is from RNAcentral.
AUACGGAGGGUGCAAGCGUUAUUCGGAAUCACUGGGCGUAAAGGACGCGUAGGCGGGUUGGCAAGUCAGAUGUGAAAUCCUACAGCUUAACUGUAGAACUGCAUUUGAAACUGCUAACCUAGAGUAUGGGAGGGGGAGAUGGAAUUAGUGGUGUAGGGGUAAAAUCCGUAGAUAUCACUAGGAAUACCGAAAGCGAAGGCGAUCUCCUGGAACAUAACUGACGCUAAGGCGUGAAAGCGUGGGGAGCAAACAGGAUUAGAUACCCGAGUAGACC